AAUACGUUCCCGGGCCUUGUACACACCGCCCGUCAAGCCACGAAAGUCGGGGGGUACCCGAAGUCCGCAUCCUAACCGCAAGGAAGGAACGGCCGAAGGUAAACUCGAUGAUUGGGGCU
This 119-nucleotide ribosomal RNA is filed under the name uncultured bacterium. RNAcentral describes it as "partial 16S ribosomal RNA". It matches the Rfam family "Bacterial small subunit ribosomal RNA", at positions 1365 to 1482 of the family's 1533-position model. The record is from RNAcentral.